CCAGCACCCAACUUUACCACCCUCCCCCACCUCUCCCCCGAAACUCCAGCAACAAAGAAAAGUAGUCGGAGAAGGAGCGGCGACUCAGGGUCGCCCGCCCCUCCUCACCGAGGAAGGCCGAAAGGGAAAAGAUUACAGCAAACACCUCAAUCGCCAUUUGGUUAAUGUGUACUAUCUUGAAGAAGCAGCUCAAGGGCAGGAGUAAUGAAACUUUGAACAAGGUUUCAGUUCUUAGUUUG
This 239-nucleotide small RNA is filed under the name Homo sapiens (human). RNAcentral's name for it is "RE1-silencing transcription factor variant E1a/E4i non-coding RNA". Lineage: Eukaryota; Metazoa; Chordata; Mammalia; Primates; Hominidae. The record is from RNAcentral.